This 478-nucleotide ribosomal RNA is filed under the name uncultured bacterium. RNAcentral's name for it is "partial 16S ribosomal RNA". It matches the Rfam family "Bacterial small subunit ribosomal RNA", at positions 28 to 523 of the family's 1533-position model. The record is from RNAcentral.
GACGAACGCUGGCGGCGUGCUUAACACAUGCAAGUCGAGCGAUGAAGCUUCUUCGGAAGUGGAUUAGCGGCGGACGGGUGAGUAACACGUGGGUAACCCGCCACAUAGAGGGGAAUAGCCUUCCGAAAGGAAGAUUAAUACCGCAUAAGAUUGUAGCUUCGCAUGAAGCAGCCAUUAAAGGAGCAAUCCGCUAUGAGAUGGACCCGCGUCGCAUUAGCUAGUUGGUGAGGUAACGGCUAACCAAGGCGACGAUGCGUAGCCGACCUGAGAGGGUGAGCGGCCACAUUGGGACUGAGACACGGCCCAGACUCCUACGGGAGGCAGCAGUGGGGAAUAUUGCACAAUGGGGGAAACCCUGAUGCAGCAACGCCGCGUGAGUGAUGACGGUCUUCGGAUUGUAAAGCUCUGUCUUCAGGGACGAUAAUGACGGUACCUGAGGAGGAAGCCACGGCUAACUCUGUGCCAGCCGCCGCAGUAA